GCCGCCGUAGCUCAGUCUGGGAGAGCGCCCGUGGACGCCCAUGUUAGGGCGAUCCGGCGAAGCUGAAGACCGGGAUGUCCGGGGUUCAAAUCCCCGCGGCGGCACCA
RNAcentral lists this transfer RNA (107 nucleotides) under Desulfurococcales archaeon ex4484_217_1. Its description in RNAcentral is "tRNA-OTHER". It matches the Rfam family "tRNA". Rfam says of the family: Transfer RNA (tRNA) molecules are approximately 80 nucleotides in length. Lineage: Archaea; Thermoproteati; Thermoproteota; Thermoprotei; Desulfurococcales. RNAcentral also lists the same sequence under 1 other name. The record is from RNAcentral.